UUCAGUUGCUGCGCCGACCUCCUCCCCGGCGCAAGCGUAUGGCGACGGUGUCACCUCCUCCCGGCACCGUCGUCACGUAUAACGUCGCCCCACCUCCUCCCGGGGUGCACGUUCGCU
RNAcentral lists this small RNA (117 nucleotides) under Palleronia abyssalis. Its description in RNAcentral is "Alphaproteobacterial ar14". It matches the Rfam family "Alphaproteobacterial ar14". From Rfam's summary of the family: Smr14C2 was renamed NfeR1 (Nodule Formation Efficiency RNA) highly expressed in salt stress and during the symbiotic interaction on legume roots. Lineage: Bacteria; Pseudomonadati; Pseudomonadota; Alphaproteobacteria; Rhodobacterales; Roseobacteraceae. The record is from Rfam by way of RNAcentral.